Molecule: small nuclear RNA, 327 nt
Filed under: Colobus angolensis palliatus
Lineage: Eukaryota; Metazoa; Chordata; Mammalia; Primates; Cercopithecidae
Description: 7SK RNA (ENSCANG00000000839.1)
Rfam family: 7SK RNA
About the family: 7SK was discovered as an abundant small nuclear RNA in the mid-70s but a possible function has only recently been suggested. Two independent studies have found that 7SK RNA binds the CDK9/cyclin T complex (known as elongation factor P-TEFb).
Source: RNAcentral
AGACUCUGUGGGGGCGAUCUGGCUGCGGCAUCUGUCACCCCAUUGAUUACCAGGGUUGAUUCCACUGCUGUGGCCAGCUCAGCGCUGUUCCCUUCCCGCCUCACUGUUCCAUGUGCCUCCUUCCCAAAAUUGUGUGCUCAGCCAAAGAAAAUGACCUUCCCAAACAGAGAAGGACCAUUCUUCAGUCCGGGGUGUCCAAGCAGCCACAAUCCCCUGCUAGAAUCUCCAAAGAAGCUCUCGAGGUCCAUCCAUGGUGCCACUGAAAUCAGACCUCUGUUGCCUUUGAGGGUUUAAUACGAUUCCAUCGUAUGGAUUACAUCACAUUUU